Molecule: non-coding RNA, 267 nt
Organism: Paramuricea clavata
Lineage: Eukaryota; Metazoa; Cnidaria; Anthozoa; Malacalcyonacea; Plexauridae
Source: the annotation of a GenBank genome assembly
AAUUCAUAAACCUUGUGGCAAAUCAUGUCAGCCAUAAUAUGUCACGUGGAGUGACUUUAUAUCUGAUAAAACUCAUCUUCAUUAGUAUUAUUUAUAUAAUUGUUCAUCCUAAUUAGUAUGAUUAUAUAAUUGUUCAUCCUAAUUAGUAUUCUUUUUAGUCGUAUUUUAAGCUAUUCAAAACACUCGUUGUCGUAUUUUAUCAGACAUAAAACGCUCGGCUGCGCCUCGCGUUUUAUAUCUGAUAAAACACUCCUACUCGUGUUUUAA